GACGAACGCUGGCGGCGUGCUUAACACAUGCAAGUCGAACGGAAAGGCCCUGCUUUUGUGGGGUGCUCGAGUGGCGAACGGGUGAGUAACACGUGAGUAACCUGCCCUUGACUUUGGGAUAACUUCAGGAAACUGGGGCUAAUACCGGAUAGGAGCUCAUGCUGCAUGGUGGGGUUUGGAAAGUUUCGGCGGUUGGGGAUGGACUCGCGGCUUAUCAGCUUGUUGGUGGGGUAGUGGCUUACCAAGGCUUUGACGGGUAGCCGGCCUGAGAGGGUGACCGGCCACAUUGGGACUGAGAUACGGCCCAGACUCCUACGGGAGGCAGCAGUGGGGAAUAUUGCACAAUGGGCGGAAGCCUGAUGCAGCAACGCCGCGUGCGGGAUGACGGCCUUCGGGUUGUAAACCGCUUUCGCCUGUGACGAAGCGUGAGUGACGGUAAUGGGUAAAGAAGCACCGGCUAACUACGUG
This 468-nucleotide ribosomal RNA is filed under the name uncultured bacterium. Its description in RNAcentral is "partial 16S ribosomal RNA". It matches the Rfam family "Bacterial small subunit ribosomal RNA", at positions 28 to 507 of the family's 1533-position model. The record is from RNAcentral.